Molecule: ribosomal RNA, 675 nt
Filed under: Triticum aestivum (bread wheat)
Lineage: Eukaryota; Viridiplantae; Streptophyta; Magnoliopsida; Poales; Poaceae
Description: partial small subunit ribosomal RNA
Source: RNAcentral
AUGACGCGCUCGCCGACCCGGGCCUUCUCCCAGCGUUAUUCUUCGGGACCUUUCACGGACCUUGAAACUCAGGCUGUUCUCCCUGGAAUUGAGAUCAAUGAUUGUGGGUACAAGAUAGGCCUAAAUGUUGUAGAUAGUGGUGCCCUGAGAUUCUAUUCAGUUAGGAUACCUCGUGACAACCUUCUGAACCGAUUCGGUGAUGUGGCGCGAGAUGGAAAAUACAUAAGCAGUCUCCCCACGAUUAACAGAAGAUUUGCAGCAACCCUCGUGACCAUUGCUGUUAGAUAUGCUUUACUGCGUCAACAGUUUGGUCUACCUAAGGAGUCUGAAAUCAGUGUGAUGGAUUACCAAUCGCACCAGCAUAAACUAAUGCCUAUGUUGGCAUCAGCGUAUGCAUUUCAUUUUUCCAGAGCGUAUUUGGUAGAUAUGUACUCGGAAAUGAAGAAAACCAAUGACGAGGAUGUUACGGAUGAUGUCCAUGUACUUUCAUCUGGGUUGAAAUCCUACAUAACUUCAUACACAGCAAAAUCUAUCCGCAUAUGCCGAGAAUCGUGUGGUGUCCAUGGGUAUCCUGCUGUAAAUCAUUUUGGUGGUCUGUGGAAUGAUCAUGAUAUAUUUCAAACAUUUGAAGGAGACAACAUAGUUCGCUGCAGCAGGUUGCUGGAGAUCUCCUGA